AUACGGAGGGUGCGAGCGUUGUUCGGAAUUAUUGGGCGUAAAGAGCAUGUAGGCGGUCUGUUAAGUCUGGUGUGAAAGCCCGGGGCUCAACCCCGGAAGUGCAUUGGAUACUGGCAGACUUGAGUAUGGGAGAGGAAAGCGGAAUUCCGAGUGUAGGAGUGAAAUCCGUAGAUAUUCGGAGGAACACCAGUGGCGAAGGCGGCUUUCUGGACCAAUACUGACGCUGAGAUGCGAAAGCGUGGGGAGCAAACAGGAUUAGAUACCCCAGUAGUCC
Molecule: ribosomal RNA, 274 nt
Filed under: uncultured bacterium
Lineage: Bacteria
Description: partial 16S ribosomal RNA
Rfam family: Bacterial small subunit ribosomal RNA
Source: RNAcentral